This is a long non-coding RNA of Carassius auratus (goldfish), 595 nucleotides long. RefSeq lists it as uncharacterized. The record is from RefSeq and is a predicted model, not a curated record. The transcript has 3 exons. Lineage: Eukaryota; Metazoa; Chordata; Actinopteri; Cypriniformes; Cyprinidae.
UUAUCAUGACAUUGUGAGUGAAGUUAACCCUCCUGACCUCAUCUCUGUGCCUCUCUUCUGUUGCUUUGUAGGAUUGCUGAGGUUGAGGCCAAGGCCCUCAUGUCUCUGGAUGCUAAUGGAGGUUUGGAAAGUCUUCUGAUGUCCCAAAUCUUUCCAUCAUUUAUCAGAGCUGGAAGCUUUACUUCUUGAAGUGUGGUAUAAAAUCCCACUACACACAGUUCAGCUUUCAAGCUUCCUGUCGCCAUGGGAACAGUCGAAGUGACCUGGAGGAUACCCAUUGGAAAAUGAAUUCCAAGCAUGAACACGGACUAUUCAUGGAAAGGAAGUUAAUCGGCAUUUAAGGGUACACCAACAACAGCAAUCCUUCUUAUUCUUCACCGACAGCUAAUAGCAUAAGGACAACCAUUCACUUAUCUGCAGCUCUUCACAACAACUGUAAUUGACCCUUAGAAGCAGCUCCUGUCCAAUCAGAUCUCUAGCAAACACUCCUAACCAAUAUAUCCUUUAUUAAGCUUUCAGCACUUUUCCACCACCAGUGUUUGAUAUUUGUGGAGACAACCCUAAUUACAUUUUCUCUGACAGGCAGGUAGAAGAA